GUAAUUGUAUUAGAAAAAAAUGUGAGAGAUGUAAAAAAAUCACUGGAGGAAGGUGGUUAUAUAAGUCCCAAAACUUUCAACACUCUAGAGACUUGGAAUUCGUUAUUUAACUAUCACUAUCUUUCUUCCUCAUGCCUACCUCCAACCAAUGAUUCUGUUAAUUAUGCUUCCUGAAUUCUGAGUUCUCCAAUAUGCUGUGUUUCUUCCCACUUUUCCCUUCCUGCCCUUCUUUCUUCAAUACCCCUCCUCUAAGAUACAUCAAUCACUUUUGAUCUCCCCUAGAAUUGUGAAUAGUUUCUCAAUUUCUAAACCUUCUUCUAUUCAUAAUUUCAAGUGUCGUAUUUGUAUCUGUUAAAUGAGCAUACUAAUCCUUAUUUCUGGUGGUGGCUGUAAAGAUUACAUAAAGCAAACUUCAGUGUAUCCGUGAAAACCCCUAAAGUAUAUCCUGGCAUAUAAACUUAGCUCAGUAAAUGUUUUCUUCCCUCCUAGUUUCUGAGGAUCGUCUUCCCCAACUCAGUCAGCCAGACUUGCCUUUCUAAGACAGAAAUUUGACUAUCUCACUACACUUUAAAAAAAUCAACGGCUUGUUAUUGCUCAAGUGAUGAAGUUCAAACUGGCAUGGCAGGGUCUUUACUGACUACAGUCUGUCUUGCUGCUCCUCUCUGCUCUGACUCUCCAUUUGACAUCCCCAUUAUAAUCACUGCAAGUUAUUUUUAAAUGUCAAACUUGCUCAUUUUUCUGUGCCCUUUGCACAUGCUGUUCCCUCUGCCUCUAAUGACGGAAAUGUCUCAUUGCCUUAUUUAAGGAAAUGCCUCUAUUUCACCACUGGUUUGCCAUCUCAUCCUUCUGUCUAUCUUUGUAACUUCUUCACUUAGCAAAUUCACUCAUCUUUUAGAUCUUCAAGUUAAUCUCUCUUCCUAGGUCUUCUCAAAACUCUUAAGCCCUGCCAAUCGCCCAUUAUGUUUGCAGUGUUUAUUAUUGCCAAGAUACUUAGCACAUUGAGUUAUCCUUGCUGGUUUGCAUUCUGAGUUUUCAACCAGACUGAGAGCUCCUGGUGCACCAGGAGCUGUUUUGUUCAACCUUGUUUUAUUAUAAUGUUGAUCAGAAAAAAAAAAUUGAGGACUGGCUAGGACCACUGUCUGUGUGGAGUUUACACAUUCUCCCAUUGUCUACAUGGGUUUUCCCUGGAUAUUCUGGUUUCUUCUCACAUCCCAAAGUUGUGCCAUUAGGUUAAUUGGCAUGUCUACAUGGUCCCAGUCCGAGUGAAUAUGGGUGCGUGUGUGAGUACGCCUUGAGGUGGAUUAACAUUCUAGCCAGGGAUGGCUCCCACCUUGCACACUUAGUUGCCAGGGAUAGGUUCCAGCCGCCCACAUGACCCUGAACUGGAAUAGUGGGUUAGAAAAUGAGUGAAUGAAUACAAAUUAUUAUAAGAUAAAGAUUCCUAAGGUAUGUAAUAGUCAUACAAAUGCACAACAGUAAACAAACAAACAGUGAGGGACAAAAAGCACUCAGAGGGCUGUCAGAAUUACUGUUUUUGAAUUUUGUGGUGGUAGGAGGGAAUCCUUAAAAUUUUUGUUUUGCAAACAUUUAUUCCUUGACUUGACCAACAUCCACUAAAACCACUGUUACUCACUGAUUCACCAAAAAUGAGGUUGGAGCACUUACUCAGAAGCUCUGGCGUAUAGGAAGCUCCCAGCACAGGGAACUUUAGAAAACUCAUAAAUGCAGGUCUCCAGAUGCCAGAAGAUUAAACAAAUGCCAGCUUCACAAGGCCAUGCUUUUCCAGCAGAAGAGAGAUGCAAUGUAAACAAAAAACUUGUAGGUAAAAAUAAAAUUUUGGAACAGAAAGAGGACACAAAAUAAGGAUUUAAGGCUGACAGAAUGGGAGGAGAAAAAAACAAGAAUUCAAUAUACCAACCAAGCAAAAAGGCUGCAGAGAAAGAAGUGAGUCCUUUGCUUCCUGAUUCAAGGGGUCCAGUGACAGAGCAUUCAAUCCAGUCUAACAAAUAUUUAUUAAUGCUGAGGUGGAACUUGAGAAAGUGGGUGGGAGAGGAAGGUGGAAUUGGGAGUGGAUUUUGACUGUGGGAAUGGGAGGUUGGGGAAAGAAACAUUAUUUACAUUGUGCCAAUUUUUCUAUAUAUUUAAUGCUAGUGAGGACUUACAGCAAAACUUUGAGACAGGCAAUGUUAUCCUUCAUUUAGUAGGUAAGAAAGCCAAGACUUGGGGGUCAAGUAACUUCUCCAAUCACAUCUACACCGUUAAUAAAUGCCAGAACCUAUUUCCAAAUUUAUGUGCAUCUGAUUCCAAAAAUCUAUAUCCUACCCCCUACAUUAUUUUAUCCCUAUGCCUCAUUCAGAGCAGUGUGAUGGAGUCUGAGGAUGGGAAUAUAACAAAGGAAGCAAUGUAGGCCUUACAUUUUAAAGUGUUCUGAACUAAUAAGGGAAGAAAGGCAUGUAGACAAUGAGCCAUAUCACGUGACAGAAUAAAAUAUGGGCUUGGCUAGAUAUAAACGACGUACUGAGGAUGACAGAUAAAAGAGCAUUUCAUUGAUAUUUCUGUAAGGGAUAGUAUGUACUCUCUAGUACUUACUAGAUAUGAUGUUAUUGGACCUGAAUGCAAAGAAAGAUAUUGAAUCAAGCUUAAUAGGUUAAGAAUUAAGGGACAACCAUCAUGCACAAAGAAGGGGAAGGGAUUAUAAUGCAUGGACAGAAAUAAAGUUGAAAAAAAUGCUUGCAGUUAGAUCAUGGAAAUUCUUGAAUACAGCCAUAGGCAGUUUGGACUCAGUACUUUGCACGAUGGAGGUCAACAGGAGAUAUUAAUAUUUGGAGAAGGAAGAUAAGUGAUCUGUUGUAUUGAUAUCUAGGGAAAAUCAUUAUUUAAAAAAUAACCAUAGCUUACUUUGAAUAGGUGCUAUAGAGUUUGGGGAAUUAUACAAGUAUCUUUUCCUUCAAAUUCCCAUAUUGUCUCUUAGCUAGAUGGCCUGGAAUUUUCUUCCUUUGUAUUUAAAAUUUGUAAUAAGUAAUCUAAGAAUACAAACUAGAAGUUUUAUUAAUGUGUCUUCUCAUGCAUCACAAACCCAGAAGAAAUGUCAUAAACCUCCACAUCUUCUCUACCUACCUGGGAAGAGCAAUAUUUUAAUAAUGAGGAGUAUGGAAAAAGGUGGAGAAGAGGGCCUAGCUACAAUGGCGUAGGUUCAGAAUCAUGACUGUGGUCUUUAGAAACCCUAAAAGGAAUAAAGGUAGGCAUCCCAGUCCUAGAGAAACUGGAAUAUCAGGCAGGUAGAUAGGUAUCAGACAUUUACAAAAUUCAUACCUUGGAUCCACAGUCUAGAACUUAGGGCAAAAUUUGGAAUAGAAUCCAGAGCUUGACUUCCCUGGUAAUAGAUGACCAGGCCAUGAGAUUAUUUUUCUUCUCACAGGGAAAAACUGGUUACAAAGAAUGAGAUGAGGUUAAGUCUGCUAGCAAAGCAGAAUAGUUCCAGUUUUAUAGUCAGAUAGCCAAGGGAUCAGAAAAUGUGGCUAAUUUAUGCAAUACAAAGAGACAUCACAGGUUGUGUUUGGGGAAGUCAAAGGUCUAUUGGAGUACUUAAAUUUGAGAGAAGGCAAUGAGUAUCAGUUUUUCUAAUAGGAAUUUCUAGUGAAACAACAACAACAACAACAACAACAAAUCGAUAUUAGGUUGUAAAGUAGGAGGUCAAGCAAAGCUCUCAGUAGCAAAUAGAUGUAGCCUUGAUUACUGUCUUUCCCUUUGACUUGAUGUGUUAUGUUGAUCUAGACAGAAAAGCUGUCUGAACCUUUAUUCAUUAAUAUGUGAAAUGGUAAUAAAGAUGACUACUUCAUAAACAGACUAUGAGGAUUUCAAUAAAAUAGUUUACCUGAAAUGAAGAUAAGCUGUCUGUGACAAGCAGGCUCUAAUAUGAUACCCACCUGCUAGUGUUUAUGCCUGUAUGUGAUCCUCUUCCCUUGGUUGCUGGGGAAUUCUUCCUCAAUUGUUUGUUGAAGUUAACUAUUGCAUGAAGAGGCCCAUGUAGCAAAGAACCAAGAACAACCUCCUGUCGGCAGCCAAUGAGGAACUUAGACCCCCGAUGUAACAGCACGCAAGGAAUGGAAUUCUGCCAAUAACUAGAUAAGUUUAGAAAGCAAAUCCUUCCCUGGUUGAGCCUUCUGAUGAGACACCAGUCCUAGCUGACACGUUGAUUACAUCCUGUGGUGGUUAAUGUUGUGUCAACCUGGCUAGACUGUGGUUCUCAGUGGAUUGGCUAAAUAUCAGUCCAGAUGUUGCUGUGAAGGGUUUUUUUUUUAAAUGUGAUUAAGAUUUAAGUCAGUAGACUGAAUAAUUAUCAACAUUCAUAUAAGUAGACUUUGAGUAAAGCAGAUUCUACCCAUAAUGUGGGUGGGCUUCAUGCAAUCAGUUAAAGGCCUUAAGAGCAAAGAAAGACUGAGGUUGACCCCAAAAGAAAGAGUUUUCCUUCAAGAUAGCCACAUAAAAUCCCAGCUUGAGUUUCUAGCCUGUUCAUCUUUGGUAUGUGGACUAAGAUUGCCACAUCAACCCCUGCCAGAACUCCAGACUGUGAGCCUGCCCUACAGAGUUCAGAUUUGCCAGUCCCCAAAAAUCACAUGAGAAAAUUUCUUAAAAUAAAUUUAUCUCUUUUUCUCUUUAAAUAUAAAAGAACUUAAAGCAGAAGAUCUCACUAAGUUAUGCCUGUAUUUCUGAUCCACGAAAAUAAUAAAACAAUAUUUAUG
Molecule: long non-coding RNA, 4742 nt
Filed under: Homo sapiens (human)
Lineage: Eukaryota; Metazoa; Chordata; Mammalia; Primates; Hominidae
Description: HSALNT0143886
Source: RNAcentral